UAGGGAAUCUUCGGCAAUGGGGGCAACCCUGACCGAGCAACGCCGCGUGAGUGAAGAAGGUUUUCGGAUCGUAAAGCUCUGUUGUAAGAGAAGAACGUGUGUGAGAGUGGAAAGUUCACACAGUGACGGUAACUUACCAGAAAGGGACGGCUAACUACGUGCCAGCAGCCGCGGUAAUACGUAGGUCCCGAGCGUUGUCCGGAUUUAUUGGGCGUAAAGCGAGCGCAGGCGGUUUAAUAAGUCUGAAGUUAAAGGCAGUGGCUUAACCAUUGUUCGCUUUGGAAACUGUUAAACUUGAGUGCAGAAGGGGAGAGUGGAAUUCCAUGUGUAGCGGUGAAAUGCGUAGAUAUAUGGAGGAACACCGGUGGCGGAAGCGGCUCUCUGGGCUGUAACUGACGCUGAGGCUCGAAAGCGUGGGGAGCAAACAGG
This 429-nucleotide ribosomal RNA is filed under the name bacterium. Its description in RNAcentral is "partial 16S ribosomal RNA". It matches the Rfam family "Bacterial small subunit ribosomal RNA", at positions 355 to 776 of the family's 1533-position model. The record is from RNAcentral.